This 458-nucleotide ribosomal RNA is filed under the name alpha proteobacterium wo20. RNAcentral describes it as "bacterial SSU rRNA". It matches the Rfam family "Bacterial small subunit ribosomal RNA", at positions 391 to 865 of the family's 1533-position model. Lineage: Bacteria; Pseudomonadati; Pseudomonadota; Alphaproteobacteria. The record is from RNAcentral.
GCAAUGCCGCGUGAGUGAUGAAGGCCUUAGGGUUGUAAAGCUCUUUUACCAGGGAUGAUAAUGACAGUACCUGGAGAAUAAGCUCCGGCUAACUCCGUGCCAGCAGCCGCGGUAAUACGGAGGGAGCUAGCGUUGUUCGGAAUUACUGGGCGUAAAGAGUACGUAGGCGGUGAUUCAAGUCAGAGGUGAAAGCCUGGAGCUCAACUCCAGAACUGCCUUUGAAACUAGAUCGCUAGAAUUGUGGAGAGGUUAGUGGAAUUCCGAGUGUAGAGGUGAAAUUCGUAGAUAUUCGGAAGAACACCAGUGGCGAAGGCGACUAACUGGACACAUAUUGACGCUGAGGUACGAAAGCGUGGGGAGCAAACAGGAUUAGAUACCCUGGUAGUCCACGCCGUAAACCGAUGAUAACUAGCUGUUCGGGGUCUACGAUCCUGAGUGGCGCAGCUAACGCAUUAAGU